RNAcentral lists this ribosomal RNA (231 nucleotides) under uncultured bacterium. RNAcentral describes it as "partial 16S ribosomal RNA". It matches the Rfam family "Bacterial small subunit ribosomal RNA", at positions 336 to 583 of the family's 1533-position model. The record is from RNAcentral.
UUCCUACGGGGCGCAGCAGUGGGGGAUAUUGCACAAUGGGGGGAACCCUGAUGCAGCAACGCCGCGUGGGUGAAGGAGUAUUUCGGUAUGUAAAGCCCUAUCGGCAGGGGAGAAGCAAGACGGUACCUGACUAAGAAGCCCCGGCUAACUACGUGCCAGCAGCCGCGGUAAUACGUAGGGGGCGCGCGUUAUCCGGAUUCACUGGGGGUAAAGGGAGCGCAGACGGGCAUG